GAUGAACGCUGGCGGCGUGCCUAAUACAUGCAAGUCGAGCGAACAGAUGAGGAGCUUGCUCCUCUGACGGUAGCGGCGGACGGGUGAGUAACACGUGCAUAACCCACCUAUAAUACUGGGAUAACUUCGGGAAACCGGAGCUAAUACCGGAUAAUAUAUUGAACCGCAUGGUUCAAUAGUGAAAGACGGUUCUGCUGUCACUGAUAGAUGGAUCCGCGCCGCAUUAGCCAGUUGGUAAGGUAACGGCUUACCAAGGCAACGAUGCGUAGCCGACCUGGGAGGGUGAUCGGCCACACUGGGACUGAGGCACGGUCCAGACUCCUACGGGAGGCGGCAGUAGGGAAUCUUCCGCACUGGGCGAAAGCUUGACGGAGCAACGCCGCGUGAGUGAUGAAGGUCUUCGGCUCGUAAAACUCUGUUAUUCGGGAAGAACAAAUGUGUAAGUAACUAUGCACGUCUUGACGGUACCUAAUGAGAAAGCGACGGCUAACUACGUG
This 497-nucleotide ribosomal RNA is filed under the name uncultured bacterium. RNAcentral's name for it is "partial 16S ribosomal RNA". It matches the Rfam family "Bacterial small subunit ribosomal RNA", at positions 28 to 507 of the family's 1533-position model. The record is from RNAcentral.